UUUUGUUUGUUGAUUGGUGGAGCGUGCGUAAGUAAAGGAGGAGAGCGAGACAAUUAGCGCCAGAAGUGAAGAAGUAAUAAGUCGGGAUUCCAAGGUUGGUCGCAACAGAGAGGGCACAAGUGCAAAAGAAGUCGAUGAUGAAUGCAGAGAUUCCAGCUGUCAAGGAGAUGGAGUGCAGAGCUUGGUGAACAUGAGGGUUGCUGAGUCGAAGGAGCUCGAAGUGGAGAGCUUCUAUGGAGGGGUAAGAGUCAGGGUCAAGAGGCGGAGAGGGCAGGUGGUGGAAAGUGAUGGAAGGGGUGGUGGCAGAAAUGCGAUUCAUGUAAGCAGCAGUGGAGGCUGCAGUGUUGUAUGGCGGGUUCACCACGAGAAUAGUAACAGCCAAUCCAGGGUGGUGGUUGAGAGUGAACUUACCCAGCUCCACCAUGGAAACCAGGUGACCCAUGCCUGGAGAUGGAUACAGAACUAUAGUACGAUUACUCGCCAUCUCUCUAUCUCUAUUUGUUCGUACACCCAAUUUCCACAAUGCUACGCGACUCUUUGAGCCAAUUGAGAGCCUCAAAAUUCCAAGUUCCAAAUAAAUAGAGAGUAACUUCCUUCAACUUUCCAUAGCCAAUAAAUGCAAUCAACUGACUAUGCUUUGUCAAGUUACCGUAGGCAAAAUCAAGGGAUAAUUUCAGAAACCUCCCCUGAGGUUUAUGACAAUUUCACAUAGCUCUAUUAAGGUUUGAAAAAUUACACAUAUCUCUCUUGUUAUUUAAAAUGACAAUACUACCCUUAAAUUUCCUUGUUUGAUAUGCUUAUACUUAGAAUGAAUUUAAACUUAUUUUUCAUUCUUUUUCCUUUUUAUUUUAUUUUUUUGCCAAUAAAAUUAUAAAAUUACUACUAUUAUCUCUAGUUUCUAUUGUGAUCAAAUGUCGAACUAAUGAUUUUUUUUAUGAGUUAACUUUAUAUAUAAUCCAAUGUUUUUUGCUAAUCUUUGUUUUUUAUUUUUUGGUAUUAAAAUUAACAAUAAAUCAAAAAAAAUUGUCCAAAAUCACUACUAAAUUAUGAUAAUUCUACUACUCAAAAAAUUCAUAAACUCUGAAUCAAUUAUUUUAAUAUUUUAUUUUCUAUAUUAUAAUAUAAAUUCAUAAUAAAAUACCAUCAAAAGUAUUCUAUCAUAGUGAUAAAUUAUUAUUAUAAUUGUUUAUUAAAUAGUAGGUAUGGACAUGAAAAAUUUGGCACCUUUUCCUUAUAAUUACAUUAGAUAAUCUUAUAAUUCUAUAGAGAAGUAAUUUAAAACUUAUUACACAAGUGCAUUUUUGGGUAUUCAUUUAAAAAUUUGAUUAAAUCAAUAUUAUUUUAUGAUUUUGUUACUAACACUAUUAAAUCAAGGGAGGUAUGUACAGUUUUUUAAAUUUCGAAGGAGCUCAGUGAAAUUGUCAGAAACCUCAGUGAAAUUUUUUAUAAAUAAGGUUCAUCAAAAUUACAUUUCAUCCUUAGUUUUAUAUUCAUUAAACUUUUAACCUUCUUUUAUUAAUAAAUUGAUUCAUUUUUUAUAAAAUAAAAUAAAGCUUUAGCUGAUUAAAUGAGUAUUUCUUUGGAUUUGUAAGUACACUCAACAAAUUAAUAAAUUAAUAAUUUAUUGAUUAAUUAAUAAUACUUUUUAAAUUAAUAGAAUUUGCAAGGUCCCAAAAUUAUUAAUUUAUACAGAUUUUACUGUAGUAGUUAAAAGAUACUAUCCGACUCGUUAUGAACUCUUGGGCGUCUGUCGUGAGCAAGUUUGUUUUUAUAGGUCGAAAGAGGUAUACCGAUUGGCUAUAAAAUGUAGUAAAUGGUAUAAAUUAAGUUGGUAUCAUGCAUAGAAAAAUGGUAGCUUAUGCAUAUAGAGUCAAUCAAGUAGCAAAUUGGAGACUAGAAAGCGAGGCGCAACAAAAUGGACUAUGUAGCUUCUGUUUUUGGUUUGCUUUAAUUAACUUUAAAUUGCAUACGGAGAAUGAAGGCUGAAAACGUUGUUGAAGGGUUUUAAAGGUUUGCCACUAUAAGAGUUUGGGAGAAACAAGCGAGAUUCAGUUUGCUCAAAAAAAAAAAAAAAAAAAAGGAGGCUGGACACGGCGACCACUUUUAGAAAAGAGAAAAUUCCCUUAUUUAUAAAUUGGUCCAGAACCUUAAAAUAAAUAACAAGCCCGUCAUGUCCAUUGGACACGGUUAUCACUUUAAAAAAAAUAUUCUUCAUUUAUAAAUUGGUCCAUUGACCUUAAAAUAAAUAAAAGCAAAUUAUUUGGAUAGUCACUAAACUUUUUAAAUAAUAGUUGAGUUUUAGUCACUUAACUAUUAAUAGUAUAUUUUUACACACUAAACUAUUAAAAAUAUAAAUUUUGAAUCAUUCUAUCUGAUUCCACCAUUAAUUUUGACAAAUCCAAAUAUUAAUAGUAUAUCUAAUAAGUUAUGUGAAUUUUUAGAUCGGACAGAAUUAACAGUUGAAUCAAAUGAAACAGCACAACAUUUACACACUUAAUAUUUCAAUGGGUAAAAAUAUAUUAUUAAUUGUUAAGUGAUCAAAUCUUGACUAUUUAAAAAUCUAGUAGUUACCCUGGUAAUUUGCUCAAAUAAAUAUCUUCCCAAGGAAAUAGGUGGAAAGGUUUCACAAGAAAGUAGAAGAGAUGUCAACAACAGCAAAAUAUCAGGCAGCUUAUGGAAGCAGUUAAUUCCUUUAAAUACUCACUAAACUAGGUACUAGAGAGACAUUCCUUCAGCAUUCCAUCAUUCUCUGGUUUUAACUACAUUAAGGUGGCGUUUGGAAAAUAGGGUUUCGGAAUGGAGAAUUGGAAUAAACCCCAUGAUUUAUGUUUGGUUCACUACUAUCGGAAUUGAAAUUUUGGAAUGAUAGUUAAAAUUUAGCAUUUCACCAUUCUUUAGUAAGUUGGUGGGUUUUGUCCAAAACUCAAGUGUGAUUCUAAAAUCUUAUAAUUGCAUAAUAUUUAGUAUAAUUAAUAUUUAUAUAAAUUAUAUAUAUUAUAUAUUUAUAUUUAUAUUAUAAUAUAUACAUAUAUAUAUGAUAUAUUAUAAUUAUAAUAUUUUAUUAUAAUAUUAGUAUAUUAUAUAAAUAUAUAUUAUAAUUAUAAUAUAUACAUAUAUAUGAUAUAUUAUAAUUAUAAUAUUUUAUUAUAAUAUUAGUAUAUUAUAUAAAUAUAUAUUAUAAUUAUUUAGUUAAAUAUAAUUAUAUUUAUAUAAUAUAUAUUAUACAUUUAUUAAUAUUAUAUAAUAAUAUAUUUAUAAUAUAUACGUAUAUUUAUAAAUGUAUAUUGUAUGUGCAUAUAAUUAUAAUAUAUACAUGUAUAUAAUAUUAAUAAAUUAUAUAAUAAUAAUUAUAUUAUUUUAAAUAUAUUAAUAUAUAAUAAUAACUAUAUUUAAUAUUAAUGUGCAUUAUAUUUAUAUAAAAUAUUAGUACAAUUAAUAUUUAUAUAUUAUAUAAUUAUAAUUAUAUAUUUAUAUUAUAACAUUUGUAUAAUUAUAAUUAAUUAUAUAAUAUUUAAUUUAAUUAGUUACAAACUUAUAAUAAUGAUAUUAUUAUAUUAUUAUAUUAUAUAUUAUAUAUUAUAAUUAUUUAGUUAAAUAUAAUUAUAUUUAUAUAAUAUAUAUUAUAAAUUUAUUAAUAUUAUAUAAUAAUAUAUUUAUAAUAUAUAUGUAUAGUUAUAAAUGUAUAUUAUAUGUGCAUAUAAUUAUAAUAUAUACAUGUAUAUAAUAUUAAUAAGUUAUAUAAUUAUUAUUAUUAUUAUUUUAAAUAUAAUAAUAUAUAAUAAUAACUAUAUUUAAUAUGUAAUAUAUAUUAUAUUUUUAUAUAAAAUAUCAGUAUAAUUAAUAUUUUUAUAUAUUAUAUAAUUAUAAUUAUAUAUUUAUAUUAUAACAUUUGUAUAAUUAACAUAUGUAUUAUAUAAUGUAUAUUAAUUUAUGUAAUAAAAUUUAUAUUAUCAAUUAUACUAAUAAUUAUACAUGUUUACUAAUAGAAAUUAUUAAUUAGUUAUACUAAAUUUACUAAUAUUUUUAUACUAAUAUAUUUAAUUAGUGAAAAUUUCUUAUAUCCCAUUUACAAAGAACCAAUGACUAUCAUUUACGAUGUGAUUUAUAAUAUAUUUAUUAUAUUCCAUUCCGAAAGAGCCAACGAACCAAACAUCAACUAUAGUAAUGAUACACAUUCCAGGUACUUGAACCAAACAGAUGUAUUGGAAUGAAUGACUUUAUUCCAAACCCAGGAUAUCCGAUUCCAAAUUCGAAUCCGACUCCGAUGUGCGAACCAAACGCCACCUAAAACCUUUGUACGUGUCUUUCCAAAAACUAUAAAAGACCUAUUUGAGUCAAACAAACCACAAAAGUGAAGUUUGAACUUUGAAGAAAGAGCAGCAGAUUUACGAGACAAAAGUGAAGUUUGAAGAAAAAGCAGCAGAUCUAAAAAGUUAACAAAACAAAAUUUAAACUCGUUGCAUCACGAGACGCACACAGACCUACAGAUUUGCUGCCAAAGAAUUAAACAAUAAUCGGUACAAGUCACAAAAGAAUUGACAAUGCAUAUAUAUCAGCCAAUUAAUGAUACUAUGUUAAGUACUGAAUGACACCCUGCGACUUACCUAAUUGGAUUUCCUGGUGAAUACAGUCGAUUCUUGACAACAUACUCGACAUACAAGUUGUAUAUGUGCUCGGGGGAUUCCCUUCAAUCACCUGUCCUAGGAUGAGUUACCAGGAUGACCUGUAAAACCAAUAAAUACAUGGGGAAGAAGAGAUUUUUCAUGUUCACAAGAGAGAGUUUUUCAACUUGUCAUGGAAAAAAGCUAUGCUAACUGCCAGCAAGUGAUAGUCAGACAACAGAUAAAUGUCUUGAUACUCUUGCUACAUAGCCAUCUAUAUGAAUGCAAGCAUAUAUACUCAUGCAAUCAUCUGGACAGACCUUAAUCCCAGAUGGAAAGUUAGUAGGUAUUAGUGCGGAAGCUGUGAAACGAACAUCCCUGUCCAGGUAAUUGUGGGACUCCAAGAUUUCCUUUGUCAACGCUGCCAAAGAGAUCAAACAAUAAUGUAAGAAAGUAACUCUUAUUAGUAUGUCUUCAAAGAUAUGAUUAAGAAACAUUUUUAUACCAGGACAAUAAUGAGAUGCAAAACUAGUCUUCAGGAUUACUUUCAAUUCGACCAAAAAAUGGCCAAUCCUUUCUGGUAAAAAUUCUCACAUCAGACCAUCAAGCUGCUACUAUGGGUGGUCAUUUAAGGUGCACAUGUAUUGACUCAUGAACUUCUUUAUAUACAUCAACAAAACUUCUUUAUAUACAUCAACAAAUGCGCAUGUGUUUACCACCACUAUGCUCAUCAAUCACUCUUGUUUUUUACACGAUUACAAAAGAAUGCCCAAACUUUAGUAAUGCCUAUCAAAGUACUUGUGAUCAUGAGGCAGAUUAUUAUCUUUCUCCUUGGGCAUGAACCUCGUAUUAAACUGCCUUGACAAUGGCCUGACAGUCUGGUUGGAGAAAUGGAUCAUCUUUUUCGGAAUUAAAAAGCUAGAAAAGAAAAAUUGUAAUGCUAAUGCACGUUAUGGAGGCCAAGUUGAUUAUCAGACAACUUGGGGGGGGGGGGGAAUUGGGAUUAACCAAUACGUAAGUUGAAUCAAGCGUCAAGUGCAAUAACAAAAGAAAAAGGUCGUGUAAUUAUUAGAAACGAAAAAAUAUAUACUUGUGGAGUUGAGCAACAGGGGGAUGGGAGGAACGAGGAUGAGCAGCGACAGCUAGGGACCGGGAAGGGUAGUGGACAAUGGCUUGGCUUGGCUUGGCUUGCUGGCUGGCUGGCUGGUUAGAGAGGAGCGGAGGGGAUCGGGCUAUUAGGCUACUGGCAGUAAAUUUUACUACUGCUAAACAUUUUUUAUGUUUUGCUUUUCAAGUUUGGGAUAAAUUUGGGAAUCAUGGUUCCUGAAAACCUACCAAUCAUCAUUCCUCCCUUUGCUGUUUUUUCUUUUGAUGGAGAGCUGAAAACCUCCCAAUCUAUGCGGGUACAGCCUACAGAGUUUUGAUGAAUCUUUCCAAAAAUCUCAUACCCACGUGGCCAUACCCUGUUGCCAAAACUUAGGGCCUGUUUGGAACUUGAAUUUUUUGGAAGUUUGUCUAAAACUUUACUGUAGUGCACUGUAGAAGUUUUUGUAAGGUGAAAAACUUUUUUGUAGAAGUUUUUGAAAUGUUACUGUAGACGUUUUUUGAAUUAUUUUUAGAGGUAUUUUUAAAACAUAUUUUUGAGUAUUUUAUAAUUUUUAUAUUCUUAAACAUUUAUGCAUUUAUAAUACAUUUAUAAUAUUUAGAAAUAAAUAUAUUUAUAUAAAAAUAUAUAAAUGUAUUAUAUUAUAUAUAAUAGGUAAUAUACAUAUAUUUAUAAAUGUAUAAAUAUAUAAUUAAUAUAAAUGUAUAAAUUAUAAAUGAAUAUUAUAUAAAUGUAUAAAUUAUAAUUUAUAAUUUAUAUAAUAUUCAUUUAUAAUUUAUACAUUAUAUUAAUUAUGAUAUAUGUAUAAAUGUAUAAUUAAUAUUGUUUAUAAUUUAUAAUUUUUAUUGUUUAAAUAUUUAUAUGCAUUUAUGCAUUUAUAAUACAUUUAUAAAUAUUUAUAAAUAAAUAUAUUUAUAUAUUUAUAUAAAAAUAUAUAAAUGUAUUAUAUUAUAUAUAAUACAUAAUAUACAUAUAUUUAUAAAUGUAUAAUUAAUAUAAAUGUAUAUAUUAUAAAUGAAUAUUAUAUAAAUGUAUAAAUUAUAAUUUAUAAAUAUAUAUGAUGAUUAUAUAUAACUGUAUUAAUAUAAUUAAUAUAAAUGUAUAAAUGUAUUAAUAUUAUGUAUAAAUGUAUAAUGAAUAUUGUUUAUAAUUUAUAAUUUUUAUUGUUUAAAUAUUUAUAUAUAUUUAUGCAUUUAUAAUACAUUUAUAAAUAAAUAUAUUUAUAUAGUUAUAUAAAAAUAUAUAAAUGUAUUAUAUUAUAUAUAAUACAUAGUAUAAAUAUAUUUACAAAUGUAAUAAUUGUAUAUUAUUAUAAAUGAAUAUUAUAUAAAUAUAUAAAUUAAUAUAUUAUAAAUAUAUAAUAUUAUGUAUAAAUGUAUUAAUAUAAUUAAUAUAAAUGUAUAAAUGUAUUAGUAUUAUGUAUAAAUGUAUAAUUAAUAUUGUGUGUUAAUAUUAUGUAUAAAUGUAUUAUGUUAUACAUAAUACAUAAUAUAAUUGUAUAUAAAUAUACAUAAAUAUAUAUACAUAAAUGUGUAAUAUAUAUAAUAUGUAUUAUAUAUAUUAAAUAUAUAAUAUAUAAUAUUUAUAUAAAUGUAUAAUUACAUAUUUAUGUUAAUAUUAAUUUAUAUGGUAUAUAAUAUUUAUAUAAAUAUAUAAAAAUAUAUUUUAAAUAAAAUAAAAUAUUUAUAAUAUGUUUAAAUAAAAUGAAAUAUUUAUAAUAUGUUUAAAUAAAUAUAUAAAUAUAUAAUAUAUAUAAUAAAUUUUUGAGGGUGAGGGACUCAAAAAUUCAAAAAAAAAUUUUGAGGUUACCGGCAGCGCCGGAAUAGGUGAUCGGCGCUGGGAGAGGUGGUGGAGGUGAUGUCUGGUGUGGUGGGUUGGGUGAGGGAGGAAAAAAAGUUUUUGAGAAAUUUUUUGUGUAUAGAUUUUUGAAGUGUGUAGGUAAAAAACUUUGAAAAGUUUUUUAAGAUUCCUGUAGCAAAAGUUGUUAAAAAACUAGUAGCUAAAAAACUUGGUAAAAAACUAGGAUGCCAAAUAGGCCCUUAAUUUCCAUGCCUUUUGCUUGACUAGUGGUUAAUUGAUUCAAAUCUCAACCCCUCUAUAUUUUGUUUUCCUGGAGUCCUCAACAACAACAACAACAACAACUGCUACUACUACUACUAGUUUUAUUCACAAUCACUAAUGUUUAAGGCACACUUGUUGCCUGCACAACUAACAAAAAAAUUAUAUAAAAUUUUUUAAAUAUUUGUUAAAGUCAUUCUUAUGAGGCAAUUUUAUAUUUUUUGUAAUACCUACGGUGAAAAAUUCACGAAAAUAAACUAUGCGAAAUGUAAAUAGAUAGUUGUUUGAUAGUGGGUAGUAAUCAAAAAAAGAGAAAGAGGGAGCUAGUGGAUAGUUAGUUAUAAAAAGUACUAAUUUAGAAAUAUCACAAAGUGACAGAUUUUAGUUUACACAAAAAAAAACCUCCUCUUUUUUGUAUAUGGUACAUAGAUAAUUAUUACUGUUUUUAUAAACACUCUAACUUACCAAUAUGUUCAAAUGCCAUAGUUAUAAAACUUGACCUGCCUCAACAGUUAAACUGGUCAACUCGGUGAACGGAUCAUAGGAUCGAUUUGGAUUGUUAAUCAAACCUAUUGACCCGUCAAUGAUCCGACGUUUCAAUUGGUCAAUCGAAAAAAAAAAUCGUCAAUUAAGUUGCCGACUAACCACCAAUACAAAAAUUAUGUUGUAUUUAUAAUUUAAAAUAUAUUAUAAUAUUACAUAAUAUAACUAUUAUGCAACCCAGAGCUCGACCACCUUUCGGAUUGAGCUCUUAACGGGGUUUAAUAACUAUGGUCCUAAGUCAAUCUAUUUGAAAAUGCUAUAGUAAUUGAGCAUUCUUUUUCCUUCUAUUUUUUGAAACUUACAAAAAGAAAAAUGGAAGUAUCAUCGCUCAAUUUAUAUUUGCAAGGUAAAGUCAAGGUCAUGACAGCAGGGAACAUUCAUUCGGACUGGACCAAAAUAUCUGUUUUCAUCUUCUUUUAGCGUCCAUUUAGUAACAACGUGGAGAAGAAUUUGCGUCGGGAAUGUGAAGAACUCGGAAUCAAAGCUAUGCAUGUUUGUGGUCCAUAGCAAAAGAUAUCACAUAAUGGAAUAAACGUUGACACAUGCCCGACCACCUAAGAAAAGCCCAUUCUCUAAAUUUGGCCCAUUUUUUGCAAAUGCGUGACUGUGAUUUUUCCAGCCCAAAAACAAUCGCUCGUCAUGUAUCGAAACUAGAAGAGCCUUCUUCAACUUUGCGGCAUUCAUGAUCCAACUACGGUGACUUGUACCUUGAUGAAUGAACUGCGUUGCGUUAUUUAUUUAUUUAUUUAUCAUUCAUGUCAAACUUUUCUGUUUACUUUCUCAUUUUAUUCAAGAAAUUACUUCCUUCGAUAAGUACAAGCACUAGAUUAAUGAACAUAUACGAGUGAUUUUCUAAUUCGAUUUGAGUUAGUAGUAUUAUCCAAAAGGACAACAAAAUCAAUUUGAAAGCUGUAAAUAAUUAGAUGGGGGCCAAAUUAUCAACUGUCUUAACUUCAUGUAUUGCUAUUACCCAAAAAAAAAAAAAAACUAUGUUUUCGGAGUCGGAGACUCAACCGAGUUUAGGAUUAAGGGUCAAUAGGUUUGAUCGAAUUUGAUCUGAAGUUGAAUCGAAUAACAUCAUAUAUAUGUCACACACACACACACACACACACACAUAUAUAUAUAUAUAUAUAUAUAUAUAUACCCAUUAUUUUUCUUGUAAAAAUAGCCAAGAUCCCAAAAUUCACCAAUCAACAAGACUAAUCAGCAAUCACUUGACGCCAACGAGUAGCAAAAAGGCCUAACCAAAAUGUUUAAAAGCAUUAGGCUUAAUUAUUGAUCCCAGAAAACAAAUUUUGCAUUAGUUGAUUGUCCUAAUAAAUCUUGACUUAACCCAAAAAAAAGGUAUAAAAAACAAGUAAAUUGGUAUGUUUUGUCAUAUAACCUAUGAGAUUAGAAAUAGGGAUAAUUUCAGAUACCUCCCCUGAGGUUUCUAACAGUUUCACUCCCCUCCCCUGUGGUUUCUGAAAUUCCACAAACCUCCCCUAAAACUAGAGGUGUCAAAAUGGGUGACUUGGGCGGGUUUGGGUUGGGUAAAAUGGGUAAUGGGUAUAAGUGAGUCAACUCAUUUAUACCCAUUUAAUUAGAUGGGUAUAAAUGGGUAAGUCAAAAAAUGAAUUGGGUAACUCAAUUACCCAUUUAUAACUCAUUUAUUUUAACUUUUUGUAAACUCAUUUAAAUUCAUUUUUGCAAACUAAGUUAUCAAUUUAUACCACUCUUUGUACCCAUCAUUAGUUUUAAAUAUUUACUUAUAAUAUUCAAUAAACUUAAUUACCAAUUUUUUUCAUUUAUACUCUAUGUCACAAAAUUACCUAUUAUUUAAUAAUUGAAUAAUACGAAUAUAAAAAUUUGAAUUAAGUACUAUAAAAAUUAAUAUAAAAACUUAAUCCAAAAAUUUUGAACCCCUAACAUUUUUUUCAUAUAUAAAUAUAAAUUUUCAUUUUAUAAAGAUAAGAAAAUAGGCUAAAAUUUAUCAUAAAUUGGUAAUGCUAAAAAAUGAGCAAGUUAACAAACUAAGAAAAAAUAAAAUAAUAAGAUAAAAUCAAUAAAAAAAAAAAAAUAAUAAUAAUAAUGUUAACAUCAUGACAAAAUGAAAAAUUUGAAGAAAAAAAAGGUAGGGGAAAAAAAGAGACUUGGGGGGAAGAGAAUUUUAAAUGGGUUAAUUGGGUUUGAUGGGUUACCCAAUAAUACCCAUUUAUUAAAUGGGUAUUAUUGGGUAACUCAUUUAUACCCAUAUGCAAAAAUUUAAGAUACCCAUACCCAUCUAUUCAUGGACGGGUAUGGAUAAAUUUAGUUAAGUGGGUUGAUUUGCCACCUCUACCUAAAACUAAAUAGGCAAUGUCAAAAUAGACCCAAUUUAAAAAUGAAAACAAUAAAAAAUCAGUAGCUGGAGAGAGAAACAAGUGUAUACCACAAAUGCCCUCAUUAUCUUGGGUUAGAAAGCUAAUCUGAUGUGAAGAAAAAGGAGGGAAUUCAAGAAGAAUGAAACUUGAGGGGAUGUAAGUGAGACCAAUGCAUUCAUUGAGGUGUGAACGUCAGUAGUGAACAAAAUGGAAGGCAACGGCUCUUUCUGGCAGUCAGUUCAUCUUCCUUCUUUGUACGUCUCUUCUUAGGCUUGGCACUGGAUGAAUUGUGUUCAACUGAAUCCUUUCCAUUUGUUCCUUCUGAGUCAUAAUUUGAAGAUUUAGUCAUUCCAUCCACCUUAACUUCAACUUCAUCACCAAUAUGCUUAUUAGCUAUCUCAAUGUCUAAAAAUGAAAAUCUCCUGAAAUUGCAUAAAAACCUGUUGAUUGAACCAGAAAGUUGUCUUCUUUGGGAUGCAAACAAUCAAGAGCAGUAACAAGGAGUUCAGAGAGUAUUUCAGCCGAAGACGCCUUAAUAUCCUUCACUUUGCCAAGCAUAACAGAGCAAUUAGUAGAUCUAUGUGGCCCAACUUUCCACGAUUUCUUAUCACCAUUUGAUUGUCCUACUCCUCCACCCCAUAAGGAAGAAGCGCAGCAGCCACAAUCAUUCCUUCUUCAUUCAAAAUAUUAUAUGUUGAUGCAGCAUUUCUCUGCAAUAUGAGGAAAAUAAGAAACUAGAAAAACUUAUGCCAGGCCAACACAAGUGCAGAAGAGAAGCAAAAAUCGACAAAAAAUGCUUCACCAAAAUUUGCUGUCUAAGAAUAAACUACUGCCGGUUCAAGUAGAUUGAGAUACACAAAAGGCUAAGUCAUCAAGGUAUGAGCCAAAUCUCUAUGUCCACAGACAGCACUGCUAUGCAUGUUACAGAUAUUAAGACAUCAAGAAAGCACAAAACUCAUACUGGAAGGCACUGUAGAAUGCAAGCAAAACAUCCAGAUAGAAUCUUGUUAAAAGAUGUAGAUAUAAACACAUGAAAUCUAGAAGGGUGCUGGUUGUAUGAAUGAACGUUUGAAGAAAUUCAUGAGUUAUAAUGAGUUUGCAUUAAGCCUGAUUGUAUAAUCUUUAUCAAUCAUUGAUUAAAUCCAUCUGCAUUUACUAUGAAACCAGAACAAGUUUACAAACAGUAAUUUACCAUCUGUAAGAAAAUCAAAGCAGUACACUUACCGAAUCAAUUGCUUCAAGAUUCAUGCCCAUAGACCGAAUAAAUUGCCGAAGGUCAGGACUUACUGGCUGGAUAUGCCUCCCACAACCAAGAAUUAAUAUUCCUGAUAUCAUCAGCAGAUAUAGAAAUUAACAACUGAAUGAACAAAGCUUAUGGCAAAAAAGUGAUUCACUGAAACUAAUUUACUACUACUACUUCAAUAGGACCACAUCUGUCGACAGGUUCACCAAAUCUGUCAAAAGCUGCGCACAAGACACUAGUGUGUAAAUCUUGUUUCCAGUUCAGAACUAGUACAAGAGCUGAUCAAAGAUUAAAAAAAAAAAAGCUGCUCAACCCCAACAUUAAAAUAAAUUUGUGGUUUGUAACAAUGAAUGCACGCUUUGUUCAAUGUCAAUAGAAGGAAAGGGCUAUAGGCCCAAUGAAAGAUUUCAGGAAAACCAAAACUAAGCCAAAAAAAAAUGUCUGAGCCAAAAAAAAAUGUCUGAGAGGCAUUCCUUUGGCGAAAUUCUUCAAGAAAGGCCCUGAGAGACUGAACAAACUCUGGAAAAUCUAUCUCCUCAAGCGCCUUGAAAACAUCCUCGGCAUUUAUUAUCUGCCUAUUCGACUCCUUGCAUAUAUCAUUUGCAACUGCGGUGAGGUAGUGGAUGAAGAUGCGACCACUUUUAGAGAAGGCCUGCAGGGCUUCGCGGAAAACGGAGAUUCAGACUCGGCAGAGAGCUGAGAGAGCUUAUCUUUCACCAGCCGCAGGACAAUUGUCUUCGGCAGCUCCUCUAAUUCCCUAGCCGUCGAUUCCGUCACCGUCGUCACUUCACCAUUCUCCUUCGCUUUCUCUUUCUCUUUCUCUUUUUCCACCAUUCCUACAUAAACGUAUCACACACGUGCUCUCUGUUACUCUAAUUUAUUGUUAAUUACAUUAAUUGUGUUUAUAACUAACUUAACUAAAUUUUUUGAGAUAAUCACGAAAUAUUAGCAAACUUGUGAGGGUAUUUAAGUCUUUUUGACACCAAUGAUGUAAGAAAUGGGACCUACUAAUCUGACAAGGGAGGUUUGUGGAAUUUCAGAAACCACAGGGGAGGGGAGUGAAACUGUCAGAAACCUCAGGGGAGGUAUCUGAAAUUAUCCCUUAGAAAUAAAAGGUAUUCAAAAGGUGCAUCAUCUUCACAUGCAAGUCAGACGGUUUCGGAUGCCACCAAAUCACCUAAUCAUAACUUUGUACUCAAAUUAACAAGUUGCAUGUCCUUUUUAAUCAAGAAUAUAUAUAUAUAUAUAUAAAGCAAAAUCAGGACUGUUUAUGAUUUUCCCAACAAAUUACAGCAAUGGAGAAGUGGCAGCAAAGACGAUGAAAUUGGGGUGGCGGUGGACGAACCUGUUGGUAGCGGCACUGGUUGUUUGGUGGAGGAGCUAGGGUGGGUUACGAACGACAGCAGAUAUUCGCGUUUGGGAAACUUCUGGUUGGAGUAGAUACUUUUUUGUUUGGAUUGUAUUUUUUUAAAAUUUUUUAUAAUAAAAUUAUUAUAACGAUUUGAUAUAUGUAAAGUAAAAAAGUGGUUGAAGAUUUUGAGUGUAGCAAUUUUUUUAAAAAAUUUUCAAUCCAAUCAAAGCCGCGCUACAUAUAAAAAGUAGUUGUUUCGCAUGUGUUCUUUUUGCUUGAUCAAUGAAGAAAAUAUAGGAAAUAAUAAAAGAUUAAACUCUUAUGUCUCAGACAUUUUAUUUUGGAUGAGAAAUGAAAUUCUCAUCAAUGCUAUUCAACACUAGAUGUACAGCUUUUCCAGCGCACAUGUAAAUUUAGUUUACAAUGAAUGAAAUUAUCCUUUUGACAAAAAUAAAUAAAUAAAUACAUAAAUCAAAGCCGCUCUACUUUUUUUUGUCAAAUCAUAAAUCUAAUCCCAGAACGGUUCUCAAAAGUCGGCAACUCUUGAGUGUGUCCCAAGGACUUAUAACCUAACCCAAACCCAACCCCAACCCCGAUGUGGGAUAAUCAACCUCCACAAAGGAGCCUGCCCUUCGGCGCGAAUCUUUUCGCCCGUAACUAUUCGGACCCUCACUCCCCGUGAUAAGCUGACUGUCUUCUCUCAACAUUAUUGUUGUUUUUUUGUCAAAUCAUAAAUCUAAUUCCAGAACAGUCCUCAAAAGCCGGCAACUCUUGAGGGUGUUCCAAGGACUUAAUCAAAGCCGCUCUACUUGUUUGAGUUGUUUCCUUGUUUCGUUGGUCAAGGUCCGGUCUGAUUAAAAAGUCAACUGGUGGACCCGGGAACUUUUGACCGCCUACUUAGUUAGACCCAGACCCCUUUCGAAAGGGAACGUCUUUUCAACAUUAAUACGUCCAAAAUACAUAGCAUAGCACUACAUAGACUCCGCACCAGCCACAAAAAUCUGAUCCCCCUAUAUAUUGAAGUUGAUAUUUGACCCAAAAAAAAAAAAAAAAAAAAACACCAUGGUUCCCCUUUCCGCUGUUCCACUUGAAUUCGCACGCUAACAUCCCACCAUCACAUGCGUGCAACAAAGACGAAGAAUUAUCAGUCCUCAAGUCAACAUACCUAAUAGGACCAUCCAAAUCGGAGACAUGAGUGAGUGCAACACUUGUUCCCAUGAUGACGCUGCUCUCAAACACUCACUGCAACAUUGCACCGAGUUAUCGACAGAACUCAGUUGGGAAAACAUCGCGACUUCACGUUUUCGAGGAUUCAGAGGAAAGCCUCAAAACCUUAAACUCAGAUUCUACUAUUUCGGAUUAAAAACUCUCUGUCAACUCCCCUCAUAGACUGAACAAUAGCAUAUACUAUCAUAUGUUAUACUCAUAAUAUAUUUGUUGACAUUUAAAUAACAAUAAAUCCUUCCAGUAACAAAUUAAACGCACAAAAUCUAUCCAUCCAUAGGGUUCAUUAGUUUAUUAUUGCAGUGAGACUGGUGCAAGAAAAUGCGGCUAAUUCCCAGCUUACUCCAGCUUCCUCCAGGAUCCUACCAAUUUGGCCAAUGCCACAGUGGAUGAGCCCCCAUCAGCCACUGCUUGCUUUGCUUCCUCCUUCUUUGCCUGGGCUCUUUCCCUGAUCACCUUUCCUUCCUCCGAAUCCAUCAACCCCCUAACUCGCUUCUCUAUUUCAGCCGCUUUCACGAACCCACCUUCCGUACUUUCAUCCAUUGGUAAGGCCAACUUCAUCUCCUCAACUAAGAACAGCCUAUUCAGCUUCUGCUCAGCAUAAAGUGGCCACCCCACCAUAGGCACACCCGCACAGACUGCUUCCAACACUGAGUUCCACCCGCAGUGGGUCACAAACCCACCCACCGACCCAUGAUUCAACACAUCCACCUGCGGUGCCCAAGAACUCGCCACGAAACCCCUACCCUUUGUCCGGUCCAAAAACCCGUGGGGCAGCAACAAAUCCAGAUCUGGGGCGGGUGGAGUUUGAAAGCGGUUGGUUUUGUCCUCAGAAGGCGGACUGCGCACCACCCACAGGAACUUUUGCUCGCUCCUCUCCAACCCGAUGGCUAUCUCUUUCAGUUGCUCAGCUGGAAAUUGACCCACGCUCCCAAAGCACAAGAAUACAACGCUUCCACUUGGUUGCAUAUCCAGCCAUUUCAAACAUUCAUGCACACCUCCUCCCGUUCCACCUGCUGCACCUCCACCUUUCCCGUUGUCUGAUGCAAUCAGAGGUCCUAAGCUGAAAACAGGCGGAGUGGGGCCAUCCGGAACAUACUUUCCAUCAGCGAUUGAUUUCAAGAUGCUAGGUUCGAGCGAUUCGAACGUGUUGACUAGGAUCCCGGACGAUUUUGCCAAUUGCGUCGCAACAUCUAAGAAAAAUGCAUACUCAGGAGACGUUCUUUCCAGCAAAGGAACUGGCAUGUCUCGUGGUGGUAUUGGAAGUAAAUCAGGAAGAUGUAGAAGUUCGUCCAGGUCUUUAUAGCUUUUGUUUGUUGAUUGGUGGAGCGUGGGUAAGUAAAGGAAGAGAGCGAGACCAUUAGCGCCAGAAGUGAAGAAGUAAUAAGUCGGGAUUCCAAGGUUGGUAGCAACAGAGAGGGCACAAGUGCAAAAGAAGUCGAUGAUAAAUGCAGAAAUUCCAGCUGUCAAGGAGAUGGAGUGCAGAGCUUGGCGAACAUGAGGGUUGCUGAGUCGAAGGAGCUCGAAGUGGAGAGCUUCUAUGGAGGGGUAAGAGUCAGGGUCAAGAGGCGGAGAGGGCAGGUGGUGGAA
This 16057-nucleotide long non-coding RNA is filed under the name Coffea arabica (coffee). RNAcentral's name for it is "long non-coding RNA (CARA_LNC000860)". The record is from RNAcentral. Lineage: Eukaryota; Viridiplantae; Streptophyta; Magnoliopsida; Gentianales; Rubiaceae.